This 473-nucleotide long non-coding RNA is filed under the name Coturnix japonica (Japanese quail). RNAcentral describes it as "lncRNA (ENSCJPG00005017539.1)". Lineage: Eukaryota; Metazoa; Chordata; Aves; Galliformes; Phasianidae. The record is from RNAcentral.
GAAGACUAUAGAUAAAAAAUUAUUUCUGUUGUUUCACAUUAUACAAGAUCAAUUCAGUCAAUAAACUGAUCACACAGAAAGAGUUGAGGGCUGUUUGAAGUUGUGUUUAUAUUAUUGCAUGGUAAUUGUUGAGUCAUAGCCUGAACUACUGAUCAGCUGGGGAAUCAAUUGGGUCAGCCUUGGAAGCACAGGUGAAGACAAUUCAACUGUGUGACCACAAGGAGUGGAUAGUGUUUGUAUCUCUCUUAGACGCCAUUUAAGGGAUGAUUGCCUCUGGAGAUGGAUCUCUGGUCUGUUAUCUAAGGAGAAAUUACAUCUAAAGGAGGAAUUUGUGACAUACAUGACUGCUACAAGAACAGAAAUACCCAAAGUGGAUAUGAUAACGUAUAACAUUCCAAUGUUGUUAGAUCAAAACAUAUCUUUCUCCAUAGCUAGUGCUGUGCAGGUGAGAAGACAAGUAUUUUUGGUUGUAG